UACGUAGGGGGCAAGCGUUGUCCGGAUUCAUUGGGCGUAAAGAGCGUGUAGGCGGCCUGAAAGGUCAGCUGUGAAAACUCGAGGCUCAACCUCGAGACGUCGGUUGAAACCAUCUGGCUAGAGUCCGGAAGAGGAGUGUGGAAUUCCCGGUGUAGCGGUGAAAUGCGCAGAUAUCGGGAGGAACACCGGUGGCGAAGGCGGUUCUCUGGGCCUGUACUGGCGCUGAGGAGCGAAAGCGUGGGGAGCGAACAGG
Molecule: ribosomal RNA, 253 nt
Filed under: uncultured bacterium
Lineage: Bacteria
Description: partial 16S ribosomal RNA
Rfam family: Bacterial small subunit ribosomal RNA
Source: RNAcentral